Molecule: ribosomal RNA, 460 nt
Filed under: uncultured bacterium
Lineage: Bacteria
Description: partial 16S ribosomal RNA
Rfam family: Bacterial small subunit ribosomal RNA
Source: RNAcentral
CCUACGGGUGGCAGCAGUGAGGAAUAUUGGUCAAUGGCCGAGAGGCUGAACCAGCCAAGUAGCGUGAGGGAUGACGGCCCUACGGGUUGUAAACCUCUUUUGUAGGGGAGUAAAGCGAUUCACGUGUGACACAUUGAGUGUACCCGAUGAAAAAGCAUCGGCUAACUCCGUGCCAGCAGCCGCGGUAAUACGGAGGAUGCGAGCGUUAUCCGGAUUUCUUGGGUUUAAAGGGUGCGUAGGCGGAGGGUGAAGUCAGUCGUGAAAUUUGGGGGCUUAACCGCCUUACUGCAGUUGAAACUGCAUGCCUUGAGUGCGCGAGAGGUAUGCGGAAUGCGUGGUGUAGCGGUGAAAUGCAUAGAUAUCACGCAGAACUCCGAUUGCGAAGGCAGCAUACCGGCGCGCAACUGACGCUCAUGCACGAAAGCGUGGGUAUCGAACAGGAUUAGAUACCCCAGUAGUC